RNAcentral lists this ribosomal RNA (458 nucleotides) under uncultured bacterium. RNAcentral describes it as "partial 16S ribosomal RNA". It matches the Rfam family "Bacterial small subunit ribosomal RNA", at positions 29 to 507 of the family's 1533-position model. The record is from RNAcentral.
AACGAACGCUGGCGGCAUGCCUAACACAUGCAAGUCGAACGAGACCUUCGGGUCUAGUGGCGCACGGGUGCGUAACGCGUGGGAACCUGCCCUUAGGUUCGGAAUAACUCCCCGACAGGGGUGCUAAUACCGGAUAAUGUCUUCGGACCAAAGAUUUAUCGCCUUUGGAUGUGCAAGCGUUGGAUUAGCUAGUUGGUAGGGUAAAAGCCUACCAAGGCAACGAUGCAUAGCUGGUCUGAGAGGGUGAUCAGCCACACUGUGAGUGAGACACGGCCCAGACUCUGGCGGUGGGACGCAGCAGGGAAUCCUACGGAAGGGGGGAAAGGCUGAUGUUGGAAAGUGGCGGGAAGCAUGAACGACCUAGGCUGGGAAAGUGAUGUAGGUAGGAGAGUAGAAAAGCUUUUUUACCCGGGAUCAUAAUGACGGUACCGAAAGAAUAAGCCCCGGCUAACUCCGUG